This 23-nucleotide non-coding RNA is filed under the name Cricetulus griseus (Chinese hamster). The record is from RNAcentral. Lineage: Eukaryota; Metazoa; Chordata; Mammalia; Rodentia; Cricetidae.
AGGUUUCUAGUGACAAGGUCAGA